CCCUGGUCUAAAAUGGCCCCUAUAUAUACUUCUAUAGUUAAAACCCCCACCCCCAAUUUUCUCUAGCCAAUCCUCCAAACUACACAUCUUCUAUGCCUGUCUCCUAGCAAUGUCAAGGCCCAUUCCCCCUAGCUGUGCUGCUCCAUGGGCUACAAACUUUAAAGGAACCAAGUUGUUGCCAGAACUUAGAAGAAAACAGAAAUAGGAGGGAUUGUGGAAUAAAAAAAAUAUAUAAAAAAUAAAAUGCCCAAACAGAAUGAUGAGCAGUGUAUACUAGUCCUAAAUACAUCUGGUCCUUAUCUACUUAGUAAAUUUAAACUUCUUGAAAUAUUCUCCUGAGUGACUAUUAAAUGUGGUUAAAUACAACACUGCAUUUUUACCAUUGCACUGGAAACACAG
Pelobates cultripes (western spadefoot toad) is the source of this 399-nucleotide non-coding RNA. Lineage: Eukaryota; Metazoa; Chordata; Amphibia; Anura; Pelobatidae. The record is from the annotation of a GenBank genome assembly.